Molecule: long non-coding RNA, 1718 nt
Filed under: Helianthus annuus (common sunflower)
Lineage: Eukaryota; Viridiplantae; Streptophyta; Magnoliopsida; Asterales; Asteraceae
Description: hypothetical non coding rna
Source: RNAcentral
GUAGGAAGACUAUUCCUUUUGUUAAAGUUCUUUGGAAGAACCAUUCUGAACGUGAAGCUACGUGGGAAUUAGAAGACACGAUCCGUUCUCACUAUCCAUAUUUGUUUUCGUCUUAGUAUGCUAAACUUCGAUGUGUUGUAAUCAUGUACGACCUUGGGAUUGUGCCCAUUUUGUAACUUAGUGUUUUCGCUAAUGUGUAAUGUUUCGCUUACGCUUAUGUGUGGUCUAAAUUGUGUCCGUACCGGUUAUCAGCGUCUUGCAAUUUCGAGGACGAAAUUUUUUUAGGGGGAAAGAAUUGUAAUGCUCGAAGCAUUUUGUUGAUAAUAAUAGUUUCAUCGAUUAUAUAGACAUAUAUUAUAGAAUUCGAUAAGUUAAUAGAUAGUUGAAUUGAAUAACUUUUUUUUUAGUUAUGUGUCGUGUACAUUUCAAGCAUUCUAUCAUUUAAUAAUAUCUAUUUAUGUUGAUAUUAUUUUUACUAUUGCGACAAAUAUUACUAGACCAAAUAUGUAGUUAAAGCCAUAUAUUUUAGUUAGUUAUGGAUAAGUUCUAAAACAUUAACCAAUAUUUUAUUUCUUACUUCCUAUAGUUGGCUAGAAUAAAAAAAAAUAGUAAAGCCCAUAACCUACAACCUAUAGUAGCUUUUGAAUAUCUCUGGUUAGAAGGAAAUACACCCCAUCUUCCUCAUCAUACAUUCCUUGAAUUCUGGGAUUUGACAAUUUUACUCAAUCACAAAAAUUUCAUCUAUAAAACCAACCUAAAUUCAUAAUAUAUAUGCAUACACAAUCAAAACUUUUUGUUUAUCCCAAACAUACUCCCUUUGAAUCACCACCGUGACCCACUGUGAGGACCGCCGCCAUAUCGACGUCGCCGUCCGUUCGCACCUCCACCGCUGCCGCCUCUAUGUAAGCUAGCGACUGCCGCGGUUACCACCUCGUUCCACUCUUUGAGGUAAACGAACAGAUUACCUCUCUUUAAAUUGUUUGAUUUGUCGGGUUAAGACUUGGGUUUGGGCUGGGUUGUUAUGUUUUUUUUUUCCGGCGAUCGGGGGUUAGGGGGAGUUUUCGUUUUUGUCUCUUUAUAAGAUAUGUCGAUUUGUGUAUCUGGGUUAACUAUUGCUGGGGUGUUGUGUGUGUGUAUUGAGAAGUGGCAAGCUAAUCCAUUGAAAUACGAAUUGUUAGACAAAUAUUGAAUUUAAUCUUUGUCAUAUUCUAAAUAAAUGAUGUCCAAAUAGUAUUACUACUAAUGAGUUUAUAAUUAUAAUAACCAGUCUCGCUUAUGUUUUGUGUAUUUUAUGAAUCUGUAACCAAAUGAAUGAUUUGUAGAUAUUAAAACUAAGAAACUAUUAUAAUAAUCUUUAUUCAAUUUGCAAAACGUAUACAUAGUUUUAUGAAUUGUUUCCUUUAUUACUUGUUUUUAAUAAAGAUAAACUGGUAAAUCAUGUUAUGAAUGGUUAAGAAAAUUAAUAAUUUGUAACUAUUUUUGUUUCUAAGGACUUUACCAAUCUGUAAUUUGGGUGCAAGUUUUGAGUUAACAAAUCGUGUUAUUAUAUGUAUAUAUAUAUAUAUAUAUGAGUAUGUCUGUAUUAAAUAUAUGUGUAUAUAUGUACUAGAGGUGUAUUAAUUAUAUCGUAUAGUAUAAUACGAGACGCUUAAAUUAAUUAUUGUGAAUGUUGAACCAAAAGCGUGUUUUAUUAUUGGGUAAGUCUAGUCCGCGGUCGC